Molecule: ribosomal RNA, 311 nt
Filed under: Acidimicrobiales bacterium
Lineage: Bacteria; Bacillati; Actinomycetota; Acidimicrobiia; Acidimicrobiales
Description: partial 23S ribosomal RNA
Rfam family: Bacterial large subunit ribosomal RNA
Source: RNAcentral
AACGUCGUGAGACAGUUCGGUCCCUAUCCUCUGCAGCCGGAGGAAACUUGAGAAAGGCUGUCCCUAGUACGAGAGGACCGGGACGGACGUAGCUCUCGUGUGCCAGUUGUCCUGCCAAGGGCAUGGCUGGUUAGCGACCUACGGAAGAGAUAAGCGCUGAAAGCAUCUAAGUGCGAAGCUCGUUUCAAGAUGAGGUUUCCCACUGGGUCAACCAGGUAAGGUCCGUGACAGACGAUCACGUUGAUAGGCCGGAGGUGUACGCAUGGCAACAUGUUCAGCCGACCGGUACUAAUCGGCCGAGGGCUUGGAUC